GAGCUGCGGGGGGGGGGCCCCGACGCCGCCGAGAUGCUGCCCCCCAACUUCCGGGGGGGCCCCCUGGGGACCCCCGCCCUGCCGCUGCGCAAGCUCCAGCCCGAGGGUAACUCGCUGCCCCCCCAAAGGGGGGAUGGGGUGUCGGUGCGGACCUACUCCUGCUAGCGGUGCCCUGAAGUGAUGGAUGAAGCCGGG
Non-coding RNA from Phalacrocorax carbo (great cormorant), 195 nucleotides. The record is from RefSeq and is a predicted model, not a curated record. NCBI's taxonomy places the organism in Eukaryota, Metazoa, Chordata, Aves, Suliformes, Phalacrocoracidae.